CCUACGGGUGGCAGCAGUGGGGAAUAUUGGACAAUGGGCGAAAGUCUGAUCCAGCCAUGCCGCGUGUGUGAAGAAGGCCUUCGGGUUGUAAAGCACUUUCAGUGGGGAAGAAAGCCUUGGGGCUAAUACCCUCGAGGAAGGACAUCACCCACAGAAGAAGCACCGGCUAACUCCGUGCCAGCAGCCGCGGUAAUACGGAGGGUGCGAGCGUUAAUCGGAAUUACUGGGCGUAAAGCGCGCGUAGGCGGUCUGAUAAGCCGGUUGUGAAAGCCCCGGGCUCAACCUGGGAACGGCAUCCGGAACUGUCAGGCUAGAGUGCAGGAGAGGAAGGUAGAAUUCCCGGUGUAGCGGUGAAAUGCGUAGAGAUCGGGAGGAAUACCAGUGGCGAAGGCGGCCUUCUGGACUGACACUGACGCUGAGGUGCGAAAGCGUGGGUAGCAAACAGGAUUAGAUACCCCAGUAGUC
Molecule: ribosomal RNA, 465 nt
Filed under: Vreelandella stevensii
Lineage: Bacteria; Pseudomonadati; Pseudomonadota; Gammaproteobacteria; Oceanospirillales; Halomonadaceae
Description: partial 16S ribosomal RNA
Rfam family: Bacterial small subunit ribosomal RNA
Source: RNAcentral